This 253-nucleotide ribosomal RNA is filed under the name uncultured bacterium. RNAcentral's name for it is "partial 16S ribosomal RNA". It matches the Rfam family "Bacterial small subunit ribosomal RNA", at positions 524 to 776 of the family's 1533-position model. The record is from RNAcentral.
UACGAAGGGGGCUAGCGUUGUUCGGAAUUACUGGGCGUAAAGCGCACGUAGGCGGAUUUGUAAGUCAGGGGUGAAAUCCCGGGGCUCAACCUCGGAACUGCCUUUGAUACUGCAAGUCUCGAGUCCGAUAGAGGUGAGUGGAAUUCCUAGUGUAGAGGUGAAAUUCGUAGAUAUUAGGAAGAACACCAGUGGCGAAAGCGGCUCACUGGAUCGGUACUGACGCUGAGGUGCGAAAGCGUGGGGAGCAAACAGG